ACCCCCUUCGUCCAAUGGGAGGGCCGCUGUCUUACAAACAGCAGACGGGAGUUCGAUUCUCUCAGGGGGUACC
This 73-nucleotide transfer RNA is filed under the name Streptomyces phage WRightOn. Its description in RNAcentral is "tRNA-Val". It matches the Rfam family "tRNA". Rfam says of the family: Transfer RNA (tRNA) molecules are approximately 80 nucleotides in length. The record is from RNAcentral. Lineage: Duplodnaviria; Heunggongvirae; Uroviricota; Caudoviricetes. RNAcentral also lists the same sequence under 3 other names.